This 433-nucleotide ribosomal RNA is filed under the name uncultured bacterium. RNAcentral describes it as "partial 16S ribosomal RNA". It matches the Rfam family "Bacterial small subunit ribosomal RNA", at positions 29 to 507 of the family's 1533-position model. The record is from RNAcentral.
AACGAACGCUGGCGGCAUGCCUAACACAUGCAAGUCGAACGAGACCUUCGGGUCUAGUGGCGCACGGGUGCGUAACGCGUGGGAACCUGCCCUUAGGUUCGGAAUAACUCCCCGAAAGGGGUGCUAAUACCGGUUAAUCUCUUCGGACCAAAGAUUUAUCGCCUUUGGAUGGGCCCGCGUUGGAUUAGCUGGUUGGUAGGGUAAAAGCCUACCAAGGGGACGUUCCAUAGCUGGUCUGAGAGGAUGAUCAGCCACACUGGGACUGAGACACGGCCCAGACUCCUACGGAAGGCAGCAGUGGGGAAUAUUGGACAAUGGGCGAAAGCCUGAUCAAGCAAUGCCGCGUGAGAGAUGAAGGCCUUAGGGUUGUAAAGCUCUUUUACACGGGAUGAUAAUGACAGUACCGGGAGAAUAAGCUCCGGCUAACUCCGUG